CUCCUCAGUAAUUAAAAGUGUCAUGUAUUCUAUGGUUAUGCCUUAUUGUCACAUUUUAAGAUUCUAUCGUCGAAAACCUUUUCCAUCUGUUAAAUAAUGCACAGUAAAAACCGAAGACUGUGAAACGAGACGAAAAUAUUUAAACUGAGAAAUAAAAGGAAACAUAUUUUAGAAAAUUGACACAAUUUCGGAAUUUUCGAGUGACAUUUGAGGAUGAAAAUAACCUCCUUCCCCCCAAAGCUGUUUAGGCAAAGGGAUUUCUCAUGAAAAUUUUAACUUAAUCGUUGGCGAAUCAAAAGCUGUGACGAAGAUCAUGAUAAUUACAUUCAAGACAGAAAACAACCGCGAUCGAAGCAUAACACUUCUGGCUGUUUGUCGUGUCAUUCAGCCGAGAGUUUAUUGGGCGACUAUUGCGUUUCACCAUUGAUUGAAAAGGAAGGUUAUAGAGCUUGCUGUGACAGUUUGUCGACUCUAUAGACGACCUUAAACAGAAAUAGCUGUCGCGAAAGUUUGUCUCGGUUCGAUUGAGGGAUAAAUUUACAAUUUAAAUCUCCGGCAACGGUGAGUCGAUUUUUUUUGCUGUGAACUGCCAGGAUGGGUCAGACGGAAAGUCGUCGGUGCAGAAUUUGUGCUACAAAGUUGAAUCCGAAAAAGAAACAGGACAUGGAACAAUCACUGUGUUCAAAGUGCAGGAAAAAGGGAUCAAAGGCACUGUGGGAGAACAGGUCAACUCUAAAGUCAAUUGUCUUUGGAAAAGGAAAAAAAGAAAAAAAGAAGAAAAAGAAAGGGAAAAAACAGAAGAAGAAGAACAAGAACAAGGGAGAAUAAGAACGAGCGGCAUUCUUGAACGAGUAGUAAACUACGGAAAUGUUAGUCUUUCCUUGUUGAUAACAGUUCAUCAUUAAGGUGACCUCAUUGUAAAUAGAAUUCCCUCACAGUAUUGUAACUGCGGUAAAUCAGGGAAACUUUGUUAUUUGCAAUUUAUGGAUUUCAGAUACCUUGUCGUGGCUAUUCACGGGAAAGUUUGCUUGUAUUGGAAAGGCGUGGUUUCUUUUUAGUAAUAGUCUCGAUGACGUUUUCAUUACAAGAUUUAAUUGUGACGAAUUAGCCAGAAAAAAAUCUGGUUGAUUUUUUGUGGUUAAAGAAACAAAUCAGAUUUCCUGUACAGUAAUCAAUGGAAUUUCCAAUUAGAAUUCUAUGGAUCUGUGCUUACAUCUACUUGCAAAGUUACAAUCCUCGUCACAAUUGUUUAAACAUUUCCUCCUUUUUCGUUUGUCAUUGUUGGUAACAGAAGAUUGGACCUCCUGAAAAAAAUUAAUCUUUUGGAGGAACUGGCGUGUUUCAAUCAAACUUGACGAGGGUUGUAUUUUUUAUUGUAAUUAUAGUGUAUUGUAAUGUUGUGACGGAUUCAAAUGGCUCAGGGUCCCAAUAAUGUUAAAUACUUUGCAACUGAAAAUGAAAAACUAGACAAGAAUUGGGAUUAA
Molecule: long non-coding RNA, 1484 nt
Organism: Pocillopora damicornis (cauliflower coral)
Lineage: Eukaryota; Metazoa; Cnidaria; Anthozoa; Scleractinia; Pocilloporidae
Source: RefSeq, a predicted model, not a curated record